Phascolarctos cinereus (koala) is the source of this 233-nucleotide long non-coding RNA. Lineage: Eukaryota; Metazoa; Chordata; Mammalia; Diprotodontia; Phascolarctidae. The record is from Ensembl.
CAGAGUUUGGGGGAGGGCUGUUCUAUGGCAGCCAGGGGUUCUGGAUCACAAGGAUGGGGAGUGUGUCAAGUACUGGAGAAUGAGUCUAGACAGCACUGUGUUAGGUCUGCUGCUGAAGUCUAUUUGCUCCUAGAAUUGGGACCACACAGAACAGAGGAACCAUUGACAAGAAGCAUGGCUGGAGUACGAAAUAGAGAUCUUUCCUGCCUGACAUAGAGCUAAGAAUCAGCACA